UCUUACUGGGACUAGUCUAGUAGGGGGCCGCAAUUGUUUUGUCAGCGAAGGGGGUCAGAAUGGCCAGGACCGGUCCUGCUUGUAGGCGAUGUCAUGGCGACAUUGGCUAGUUACGCUCAUGUAUAGAAACACGUCCUUGGGUCUAACGGUCAUCUUGCACAGAACUGGCACUCCUUCGAUAUACAUUUUUUUUUUUUUACGAAAAUAAAUAAAAACUUGUCAGUUUGUCACUUUCAUUCGGUUUGAGUAAUAACAUGCUCGAAUCUAGGUUGUGCCUUUAGAUUUUGAGAAAAUUAACAACUAAGGAAUAAUUUUCAACGUCUCUCAUUGACUUCUCGAAACCCAAAUCCCGGCCUGGUCCGUUUGGUCUGUUGCUCAAGCGUUCCCGGAAAUCUCGCGAUGUUGCGUAUCUGGGUUUAAAAACUCUGUGGUCGUAGUGCCUGUAAAAACUUCCCAACGAAGCAAGACAGUUGUGAAGAAAACAUUCUGCGAGCGGCGUCGCACUGUCGGAAAUCCUUCUCCUUUGGGACAGUUUUGUCACAUCUGGGAUCGUGAAAGGGUUGUGAAAAGGUUUCUGAGAAGAACACGAGUCAGGAGCAGACUCUGAGCCUAAGCAGCAGCAGGAGAAAGGAGGGAAGGAGAAAGGAGGGAAGGAGAAAAAGGCGAAGG
This is a long non-coding RNA of Salvelinus sp. IW2-2015, 669 nucleotides long. RefSeq lists it as uncharacterized. The record is from RefSeq and is a predicted model, not a curated record. NCBI's taxonomy places the organism in Eukaryota, Metazoa, Chordata, Actinopteri, Salmoniformes, Salmonidae.